GAAAAAAGAGUAUAUGGCGGAUGCCUUGGCUUGAAGUGGCGACGAAGGACGUGGCGUGUCUGCGAUAAGCUUCGGGGAGGUGACUAGCAACCUUUGAUCCGGAGAUGUCCGAAUAGGGAAACCUAGCUGCGCAAACCGCAGUUGGUUCUGUCUUGAAAGGGACAGAAUAGCGAACCCAGGGAAGUGAAACAUCUCAGUACCUGGAGGAAAAGAAAACAACAUUCAGUCUUCUAGUUGGCUCGUUAUGAUCGGCAACGAUGUGUUGCGCGCAAGCGCAACAGACGAGCAAACUAGUCGACUGAAUCCAUUCCCUUAGUAGCGGCGAGCGAAACGGGAAGAGCCCAAACCUGUUCUUUUAGAAUGGGGGUUGAAAGAUGUAUUUGUUGAGUUUUACUCAGGGGAGAUAAGGAAUGGUUAAUAGAAGCUGUCUGGAAAGGCAGGCCAAAGAGGGUAAUAGCCCCGUACAUGAAAAUUAUUUCUUACUUUCUAAAUACAUUCUUAAGUACCUCGAGGAACGAAUGCCUCGGGGGAAUCAGGGAGUACUAGCUCCCAAGGCUAAAUACACUUCAAGACCGAUAGUGAACUAGUACCGUGAGGGAAAGGUGAAAAGUAGCCCGAUGAGGGCGAUGAAAUAGUACCUGAAACCAUAUACUUACAAGGAGUCGGAGCCUCGGUUUACCGGGGUGACGGCGUGCCUAUUGAAGAAUGAGCCAACGAGUUUUUGCAUGCUGCUCGUUUAAUUUGCCUCAGGCGAAGAAAGCAUAGGGAAACCGAGUGUUAAUAGCGCGAACUAUUCUUUCCAAUUCACUCGCACAUGCGAGUGAAUUGGCAAAGAAUAAAGGCAACAUGCAAAAGACCCGAAGCCAGGUGAGCUACCCAUGGCCAGGAUGAAUUUCGCCGAAAGGCGGAAGGAGGUCCGAACCGGUUGAUCGUACAACGUCAUCGGAUGAGCUGUGGGUCGGAGUGAAAAGCUAAUCGAACCUGGUAAUAGCUGGUUUUCUCCGAAAUAACUUUAGGGUUAGCGUCUUUAUUAUCUUUCGGGGGUAGAGCUACUGGAUGGGAUGCAUAGGGCGAAAGCUCGGCUUUCCAACCAAACUCCGAAUACCGAAAGUAUUGUAAGGGCAGUUAGACUAUGGGGGCGAAGCUCCAUUGGUCAAGAGGGAAACAGCCCAGAUCUCAAUCUAAGGUCCCCAAAUCUCUGCUAAGUGUUUUGAAGGUGGUGAAAUUUCUCAGACAGCGAGGAGGUUGGCUUAGAAGCAGCCACCCUUUAAAGAGUGCGUAACAGCUCACUCGUCAAGAGAUAUUGCGCCGAAAAUAAUCGGGGCUAAAGCAGAGUACCGAAGGUGAGGGCGUUAUGCUUUGCAUAACGCGGUAGGAGAACAUUCCUAGUGCAGUAAAGCUGCUUCGUGAGAAGUGGUGGAGCGCUGGGAAGCGAGAAUGUUGGCACAAGUAACCGCAAUACAGGUGAGAGCCCUGUACGCCGAAAGCUCAAGGUUUCCUUGGCAAUGUUGAUCAGCCAAGGGUGAGUCGGUCCUAAGGCGAUGCCGAAAGGCGUAGUUGAUGGACACACGGUUAAUAUUCCGUGACUUCCGUACAUUUCCGAUGGAGGGACGGAGGAUAUAAAAAAGAGCGCGUUAUUGGAUUCGCGUUUGUUUUGCAAAGAGACGUUUUCUUGGUAAAUCCGGAAAACAGCCUUCGGGCAAAUCUCGCGCAACGCAGAAAUUCUUUCGUUUCGGAAGAAAAUUCUUUUGAAGAGCCUUCCAAGAAAAACUUCUAGGGUUACAUGUAUGGAAACCGUACCGUAAUCCGACACAGGUGAGCAGGUCGAGAAGACCAAGGCGAACGGGUGAGUGCUCCCCAAGGAACUCGGCAAACAAGCGGGCGUAACUUUGGAAUAAGCCCUCCCGCACGCAAGUGCGGGCGCAGCUAAAGUACCCCUGGCGACUGUUUACCAAAAACACAGCUCUCUGCGAACUCGUAAGAGGAUGUAUAGAGGGUGACGCCUGACCAAUGCGAGAAGGUUAACGUUGGUGGUGCUGCCGCAAGGUAGUGCUGACCGACCGAAGCCCUCGUCAAUGUCGGCCGUAACUAUAACGGUCCUAAGGUAGCGUAUUUCCUUGUCGGGUAAGUUCCGACGUGCACGAAAGGCGUAACGACUGGGGGACUGUCUCGGGGAGUAGCCCGGUGAAAAUGCAAUACCGGUGAAGAUGCCGGUUACCUGCAGUUAGACGAAAAGACCCCGGAAGCUUUACUGCAACUUGAUAUUGGCUCUAAGAAUGUGAUGCGUAGAAUAGUGGGGAGGCUUUGAAGUGUCGCUUUAGGGUGACAUGGAGCCGCCAGUGAAAUACCCAUCUUCCCAUUUUUAGAUUCUAACCUUUAUGGAGAAAACAUACGGGGACAGUAUCUGGUGGGCAGUUUAAGUGGGGCGCUUACCUCCUAAAAAGUAACGGAGGUGUCUAUCAAGGUCAGCUAGGUGCGGAUGGAAAUCGCGCCGAUAGUGUAAUGGCAAAAGCUGGCUUAACUGUAAGACGGACAUGUCAAACUUCCGAACUUUCGGAACUUUCUAUGCUUUCAUGUAUAGAAAGAGAUGCGAAAGCAGAGCAUAGUGAACCGACCGUGGGCACUAGACGCCGCGGAAGAUUAACGGAUAAAAGCUACUCCGGGGAUAACAGGCUGGUCGCUUCCAAGAGUCCAUAUCGACGAAGCGGUUCGGCACCUCGAUGUCGGCUCGUCACAUCCUGGGGCUGGAGAAGGUCCCAAGGGUUGGGCUGUUCGCCCAUUAAAGUGGCACGCGAGCUGGGUUCAGACCGUCGUGAGACAGGUUGGUCUCCUAUCUACUGCAGGCGUUGAUUCUUGAGAGGAGUUUCUUCUAGUACGAGAGGACCGAAGAGAACUGACCUCUGGUGUGCCAGCUGUUCUGCCAAGAGCACCGCUGGGUAGCUAUGUCGGGAUGGGAUAACCGCUGAAGGCAUCUAAGCGGGAAGCCCACCUCAAGAUUAGGAAUCAUUAAGACCCCUCGGAGAUGACGAGGUUGAUAGGCAGCAGGUGUACGCUCUGUGAGGAGUUAAGCCGAGCUGUACUAAGUGGUCAAUC
RNAcentral lists this ribosomal RNA (3093 nucleotides) under Candidatus Niyogibacteria bacterium CG10_big_fil_rev_8_21_14_0_10_46_36. RNAcentral's name for it is "bacterial LSU rRNA". It matches the Rfam family "Bacterial large subunit ribosomal RNA". The record is from RNAcentral. Lineage: Bacteria; Candidatus Niyogiibacteriota.